UGCCAUAUCUCAGGAGCUUUCA
Molecule: non-coding RNA, 22 nt
Filed under: Arabidopsis thaliana (thale cress)
Lineage: Eukaryota; Viridiplantae; Streptophyta; Magnoliopsida; Brassicales; Brassicaceae
Source: RNAcentral